RNAcentral lists this ribosomal RNA (460 nucleotides) under uncultured bacterium. RNAcentral's name for it is "partial 16S ribosomal RNA". It matches the Rfam family "Bacterial small subunit ribosomal RNA", at positions 338 to 795 of the family's 1533-position model. The record is from RNAcentral.
CCUACGGGAGGCAGCAGUGAGGAAUAUUGGUCAAUGGGCGCAAGUCUGAACCAGCCAUGCCGCGUGCAGGAAGACGGCUCUAUGGGUUGUAAACUGCUUUUGUACGAGGGUAAACGCAGAUACGCGUAUCUGUCUGAAAGUAUCUUACGAAUAAGGAUCGGCUAACUCCGUGCCAGCAGCCGCGGUAAUACGGAGGAUUCAAGCGUUAUCCGGAUUUAUUGGGUUUAAAGGGUGCGUAGGCGGUCGGAUAAGUCAGUGGUGAAAUCCCGAGGCUCAACUGUGGAAUUGCAACUGAUACUGUCAGGCUAGAGAGUAGUUGAGGUAGGCGGAAUGUAUGGUGUAGCGGUGAAAUGCUUAGAGAUCAUAAAGAACACCGAUUGCGAAGGCAGCUUACCAAGCUACUACUGACGUUGAGGCACGAAAGCGUGGGGAGCAAACAGGAUUAGAUACCCGGGUAGUC